RNAcentral lists this ribosomal RNA (450 nucleotides) under uncultured bacterium. Its description in RNAcentral is "SSU rRNA". It matches the Rfam family "Bacterial small subunit ribosomal RNA", at positions 26 to 518 of the family's 1533-position model. The record is from RNAcentral.
AGAGCGAACGCUGGCGGCAGGCCUAACACAUGCAAGUCGAGCGCCCGUAGCAAUACGGGAGCGGCAGACGGGAUAGUAACACGUGGGAACGCGCCCUUCGGUUCGGAAUAACUCAGGGAAACUUGAGCUAAUACCGGAUACGCCCUUACGGGGAAAGAUUUAUUGCCGAAGGAACGGCCCGCGUCCGAUUAGCUAGUUGGUGAGGUAAUGGCUCACCAAGGCGACGAUCGGUAGCUGGUCUGAGAGGAUGACCAGCAUCACUGGGACUGAGACACGGCCCAGACUCCUACGGGAGGCAGCAGUGGGGAAUAUUGGACAAUGGGCGCAAGCCUGAUCCAGCCAUGCCGCGUGGAUGAUGAAGGCCUUAGGGUUGUAAAGUCCGUUUUAACGGGGAAGAUAAUGACGGUACCCGUAGAAUAAGCCUCGGCUAACGUUCGCGCCAGCAGCCGC